AGUGAACGCUGGCGGUAGGCCUAACACAUGCAAGUCGAACGGCAGCACAGUAAGAGCUUGCUCUUACGGGUGGCGAGUGGCGGACGGGUGAGGAAUACAUCGGAAUCUACUUUUGCGUGGGGGAUAACGUAGGGAAACUUACGCUAAUACCGCAUACGACCUACGGGUGAAAGCAUGGGAUCUUCGGACCUUGCGCGAUUGAAUGAGCCGAUGUCGGAUUAGCUAGUUGGCGGGGUAAAGGCCCACCAAGGCGACGAUCCGUAGCUGGUCUGAGAGGAUGAUCAGCCACACUGGAACUGAGACACGGUCCAGACUCCUACGGGAGGCAGCAGUGGGGAAUAUUGGACAAUGGGCGCAAGCCUGAUCCAGCCAUACCGCGUGGGUGAAGAAGGCCUUCGGGUUGUAAAGCCCUUUUGUUGGGAAAGAAAAGCAGCAGGUUAAUACCCCGCUGUUCUGACGGUACCCAAAGAAUAAGCACCGGCUAACUUCGUG
Molecule: ribosomal RNA, 492 nt
Filed under: uncultured bacterium
Lineage: Bacteria
Description: partial 16S ribosomal RNA
Rfam family: Bacterial small subunit ribosomal RNA
Source: RNAcentral